AUUGAACGCUGGCGGCAGGCCUAACACAUGCAAGUCGAGCGAGCGGCGGACGGGUGAGUAAUGUCUGGGAAACUGCCUGAUGGAGGGGGAUAACUACUGGAAACGGUAGCUAAUACCGCAUACCAUCAGAUGUGCCCAGAUGGGAUUAGCUAGUUGGUGGGGUAACGGCUCACCUAGGCGACGAUCCCUAGCUGGUCUGAUAGGAUGGCCAGCCACACUGGAACUGAGGCACGGUCCGUACUCCGAGGGGAGGCAGCAGUGGGGAAUAUGGCACAGUGGGCGCAAGCCGGAUGCAGCCAUACCGCGUGUGUGAAGAAGGCCUUCGGGUUGUAAAGCACUUUCAGCGGGGAGGCGUUACCCGCAGAAGAAGCACCGGCUAACUCCGUGCCAGCAGCCGCGGUAAUUG
RNAcentral lists this ribosomal RNA (406 nucleotides) under uncultured bacterium. RNAcentral's name for it is "partial 16S ribosomal RNA". It matches the Rfam family "Bacterial small subunit ribosomal RNA", at positions 29 to 527 of the family's 1533-position model. The record is from RNAcentral.